AUCCAGUUGACGAGUACCAAACAGAACGAAACGCGCGUCCUGGAU
Molecule: non-coding RNA, 45 nt
Filed under: Schistosoma margrebowiei
Lineage: Eukaryota; Metazoa; Platyhelminthes; Trematoda; Strigeidida; Schistosomatidae
Source: RNAcentral